This 253-nucleotide ribosomal RNA is filed under the name uncultured bacterium. Its description in RNAcentral is "partial 16S ribosomal RNA". It matches the Rfam family "Bacterial small subunit ribosomal RNA", at positions 524 to 776 of the family's 1533-position model. The record is from RNAcentral.
UACGUAGGGUGCAAGCGUUAAUCGGAAUUACUGGGCGUAAAGCGUGCGCAGGCGGUUAUGCAAGACAGAUGUGAAAUCCCCGGGCUUAACCUGGGAACCGCAUUUGUGACUGCAUAGCUGGAGUACGGCAGAGGGGGAUGGAAUUCCGCAUGUAGCAGUGAAAUGCGUAGAUAUGCGGAGGAACACCGAUGGCGAAGGCAAUCCCCUGGACCUGUACUGACGCUCAUGCACGAAAGCGUGGGGAGCAAACAGG